RNAcentral lists this unclassified non-coding RNA (1285 nucleotides) under Hevea brasiliensis (rubber tree). Lineage: Eukaryota; Viridiplantae; Streptophyta; Magnoliopsida; Malpighiales; Euphorbiaceae. The record is from RNAcentral.
AUUUUUUGAUGCCCCCUGUUCAAGGAUGAAUUGAAUUAAAGCUUCAACUUUUAAACCUCUUCGAACAAUCCCCUGUACUGUUGGAAAACGAGGAUCAUCCCACCCAUCAACCUUCCCAUUUUGAACAAACCACAAAAGCUUACGCUUGCUGAGAAGAGUAUACACCAUGUUCAACCGGCUAAAUUCAUAUAUAUGAACCUUUCUUAGACCCAUAUCUUCCUGGAUUCGAUAGUACUGUGCAUUGCGGUCAUGGUAUUCGCUAGACCGAAGUGCAUGUGUAAUGCCUUCAAUAGAAUCAACAAACGGACAGGCAAAAUCAUAAGUUGGGUAAAUCUUAUACUUGGAACCAAUUCGAUGGUGGGGAACUGGAUUACAACGAUAAUACACUGGAUCUCGAAGAGAUUUAUUAGGGUCUUGCAUAUCAAGUUUUCCACGAAGACAGCAAAGUAAACCCUGCUCAGUUCCUAAAAUCAUCUCCUUCCAUAAUCUUAGAUUCUCUUCAGGACUAUUACUUCUACUUUUUGAUUCAAUGCCUUCCAUUCGUUCUUUCUGCAUCUGCUCACGUGGAGUAUCAUCAAUAUAUGCUUUACCCUGACGAAUUAAGUUUUCUGCCAUUUCCAUCAAUUGAGGGAAGUAAUCUGAAGUAUAUGUGACGGUUUCAUACUUUAUACCCAACGUCUCAAUGUCUUUCAAAAGGUUUUCAACAAACUCAUUGCUUUCUUUAGCGGGAUUUGUAUCAUCAAACCUAAUAAUUACUUCACCAUUGUACCUUUGAGCAAAAUACUGAUUCAAUAAUGCUGCUUUUGAGUGCCCAAUGUGAAGAUAUCCACUAGGCUCAGGUGCAAAACGCAAACGCACCUUCCCAAACUCUGCAUUUGGAAGAUCAACUUCAAAGGUAGAUUUGCUUCCUGCUUUCCCCUUAUUAGAUGUGUCCUGGUUGACACUAUUUGGCUUUUGAAUGAGACCCUGUUGGUCCUUCAAUUUAGGUCCAGAGGACUUUCCGCCUCUUUUGCCAACAUAUGCAGUUAAGACAUCCUCCAAGUCAUCACAAUAUUCAACUAAGAGUGAAUUAAACCAUCGUUGAAGAUUCAGGAAUUUCUUUGACUUUCUCAAGCUUUCCCACCGUUGUCCAGUUCCUGCUAAACCAGACCAGACAGCUACAUCUGCAAGCGACAGAGAAUGGCCAACGAGAAAUGUGCGUCCUUCCAAGUACUUAUCAACAUAACUACAUGCAUUCUCAAAUGCAGAACCAGAUGAAAGGAUAGGAGCAUACUCUAGCCAUUCA